CUUCGGGGACAUUGGUGACAGGUGGUUCAUGGUUGUCGUCAGCUCUGGUCGGUGGGUGUUGGUGUAAGUCCCGCAACGAGCGCAACCCUUGUCUUUAGUUGCCAUCAUUAAGUUGGGCACUCUAGAGAGACUGCCAGGGAUAACCUGGAGGAAGGUGGGGAUGACGUCAAAUCAUCAUGCCCCUUAUGCUUAGGGCUACACACGUGCUACAAUGGGUAGUACAGAGGGUUGCCAAGCCGUAAGGUGGAGCUAAUCCCUUAAAGCUACUCUCAGUUCGGAUUGUAGGCUGAAACUCGCCUACAUGAAGCUGGAGUUACUAGUAAUCGCAGAUCAGAAUGCUGCGGUGAAUGCGUUCCCGGGUCUUGUACACACCGCCCGUCACACCACGGGAGUUGGAGACGCCCGAAGCCGAUUAUCUAACCUUUUGGAAGAAGUCGUCGAAGGUGGAAUCAAUAACUGGGGUGAAGUCGUAACAAGGUAGCCGUAUCGGAAGGUGCGGCUGGAUCACCUCCUUUCUAAGGA
This 522-nucleotide ribosomal RNA is filed under the name Clostridioides difficile. Its description in RNAcentral is "bacterial SSU rRNA". It matches the Rfam family "Bacterial small subunit ribosomal RNA", at positions 1017 to 1533 of the family's 1533-position model. The record is from RNAcentral. Lineage: Bacteria; Bacillati; Bacillota; Clostridia; Peptostreptococcales; Peptostreptococcaceae.